CCUACGGGAGGCAGCAGUGGGGAAUAUUGGGCAAUGGGCGCAAGCCUGACCCAGCAACGCCGCGUGAAGGAAGAAGGCUUUCGGGUUGUAAACUUCUUUUCUCAGGGACGAAGAAAGUGACGGUACCUGAGGAAUAAGCCACGACUAACUACGUGCCAGCAGCCGCGGUAAUACGUAGGUGACAAGCGUUAUCCGGAUUUAUUGGGUGUAAAGGGCGUGUAGGCGGGAGCGCAAGUCAGAUGUGAAAACUCAGGGCUCAACCCUGAGCCUGCAUUUGAGACUGUGUUUCUUGAGUGCUUGAGAGGCAAUCGGAAUUCCGGGUGUAGCGGUGAAAUGCGUAGAUAUACGGAGGAAAACCAGUGGCGAAGGCGGAUUGCUGGACAGUAACUGACGCUGAGGCGCGAAAGCGUGGGGAGCAAACAGUAUUAGAUACCCGGGUAGUC
Molecule: ribosomal RNA, 443 nt
Filed under: uncultured bacterium
Lineage: Bacteria
Description: partial 16S ribosomal RNA
Rfam family: Bacterial small subunit ribosomal RNA
Source: RNAcentral